GACGAACGCUGGCGGCGUGCUUAACACAUGCAAGUCGAACGGUGAAGCUCCAGCUUGCUGGAGUGGAUCAGUGGCGAACGGGUGAGUAACACGUGAGCAACCUGCCCCUGACUCUGGAAUAAGCGCUGGAAACGGCGUCUAAUACUGGAUACGAGAAGGGUCCGCAUGGGCACUUUCUGGAGAGUUUUUCGGUUGGGGAUGGGCUCGCGGCCUAUCAGCUUGUUGGUGAGGUAAUGGCUCACCAAGGCGACGACGGGUAGCCGGCCUGAGAGGGCGACCGGCCACACUGGGACUGAGACACGGCCCAGACUCCUACGGGAGGCAGCAGUGGGGAAUAUUGCACAAUGGGCGAAAGCCUGAUGCAGCGACGCCGCGUGAGGGAUGACGGCCUUCGGGUUGUAAACCUCUUUCAGCAGGGAAGAAGCGAAAGUGACGGUACCUGCAGAAGAAGCACCGGCUAACUACGUG
Molecule: ribosomal RNA, 468 nt
Filed under: uncultured bacterium
Lineage: Bacteria
Description: partial 16S ribosomal RNA
Rfam family: Bacterial small subunit ribosomal RNA
Source: RNAcentral